This 382-nucleotide ribosomal RNA is filed under the name Corbicula sp. H5. Its description in RNAcentral is "partial 28S ribosomal RNA". Lineage: Eukaryota; Metazoa; Mollusca; Bivalvia; Venerida; Cyrenidae. The record is from RNAcentral.
AACCGCAUAGAGCCAAACGGGUGGAUCCGCAGAGUCGACCCGGGGAAUUCAGCCCGGCCGCCCACGGAGCUCGCAAAGUUCGGAUCCGCAAGGACCGGGCCAGCGGGACGUCCGCGUGGCAGGGUGCACUUUCUCCGCGGUCGAGUGCUACGACCGGUUUCGAGGCGGUCAGAAGCCCGGCGGAAAGGUAGCGCCGCCCUUCGGGGUGUCGUGUUAUAGGCCGCCGCGGUGGACUCGCCGCGAGACCGAGGACGCUUGCCGCGCCGAGCGGUCCCGGGCCGUCUUGGGUGGUUCGACCUCGGCUGCACUGCUCCGCAGAGCACCGUAACCGCCGCCCUAGCACGGGUCCGGAGACUGCCGGCGCCUCGGGUCAGUAGCGAAU